GCUGAAUGAUCCCUGACUGGUUUAGCUCGCCCGGCAGGAGCUGUCUGGCUGCAUCAGCUGGGUACAAAGCUUGAACCGGUCAGCUGUGCCAGGAAAGGUUCUAAUGGCCCUAAUUCAGCUUCACACACUUUGGCUUCACUCCUUUCUCAAGCCUAAGUGGCCUUGAAGAGGUCCAUUCAGACCACUUGGUAGCAGAUUGGCUUUUACUGCUGUUUUUGGCUGCACUCCUUGACUCGGCUUUUACCGAUGGGAAUAGGCCUGCUCAGGGAGCUGCAUCAGCUCUUGGACUCCAACAAGUGCUUUAAAAUGGUGCAAAUCCAUGUAUGGAGCUUUGCAGGUGGUUAAACCCCAAGUCCUGGUCUGCUUUUGCUAGGCUGGGGUGUGGAUAUGUGAUACAUGACCAGUGUUUGUGAGAGAAAGGGAGGGAUCCCUUCCCAGGAAAUGCUGACAGCAUUCCUCCUAAUGCAGCCCUCAGAGAUAUUGGCUUUCCUGCUGCAAGGACACCUUGCUGCAUUGUGGUCAUCUUUGUCACCACCAGGACCCUCCAGGCCUCUUCUGCCUGGCUGCUUUCCAGCUGGAGGGCCACCAGCACGUAGGGAUGGAAUUGCUCCUCCCGAGAUGUGGGACUCCAUACUUUUUCUGGAACUUGAAGGGGUUUUUGUCAGCCCAUUUUUUCCAGCCUGCUGAUGACCCUCUGGAUGCCAACACAGCCCUCUGGUAUACCCAACACUCCUCCCAGUUUUGUGCCUUCCCCAAAUUUGCGGAGGGUGCACCCUGCUCCAACAUUCUGAUCUUUAAUUAAGAAGUAAACUAAUUAUGCCUGGCUUACACCACUAAUGACUGGCCUCUACAUGUAAUUUGUGUCACUGGUUAUAACACUUUGAGCACAACCAUUCAGCCAAUUUUCAAUCCAACUUUCUUCACAUUUAUUUAGCCCAUACUUCAUUAACUUGUCUGUGAGGAAGCUGUGGGACAGAGUGUCAAAAUGAGGUGAUGUUCCAAAUUUGCUACGGCGAGGUAAAGGACUUUUGCAGCUCACCUGCCUGUGAGCAAACCUAAUGUUUUACUUCCAGAAGUACUGCCAGUCUGUGGUUCUUCUGGAGGAGAGCUGGCAGUGGUAAUGGAAGUAUGGCAGGAAUGAGAGAGAGCCCAUGUCCUGGCUGAGGACACAGCUGCUCUGGCCAGCUAUGGUCUGUCCUGCCCCACAGGCAGGGCUCCUGGAACAGCAGGUCAGCCCCCACCAACAUCUGUGGCCAGUUUGCUUUUCAUCAUCUUGUUUUUAUGAGUGAGUGAAGAGUGGAAAAAUCUGUUUCAGCACAGAGCACCACAGGGUCUGUCACAAUCUUGGACUUGUUUGCUAAGAGCAAUAGUUUUGGGUUUAUACAAAGCCAACAGCCGGAUGGGAAUGGGAAGCUUCUAUCUCUGCACUUUGGCCUGUAAACUCUCUAGAGAAAGCUGCUGUUUGACAUUCCCCUGUGUGGCAGUGGGAUGGGGCUGGGUACAGACUGUGCUCUGCUCCAGUGUCCAUCUCCCUCUCGUGGUGUGACUCCAGCACAGCCACAUGUGCAGCUGUGGGAAUCGCAGCAAAUAUUCAGAUCUCCAGUUUCAGAGGGCUCACAAGCAGCAGUUUCCUUGCCCUGGCACAGUCCAAACUCUUUGUGCUCUAUCUGCUCUUCUUUGCACUGCUCUUAAUGGUGUAUGCUCUCAAAAUUACCAGUACUUCUAAUGCAAACACAUCAUUCCCUCCUCUUCCUGCCCGCUCUGGAGACCCACUGUCCUUUCUGUCCACCUUGACAUGCUCUCAUGACUCACCUUCUCAGUCCAUGCAGCUCCAAAGGUUCAUAAGUGAUACCUGGAAACCAGCUUAUUGGUUAGGAGUGGCAGUCUCUGCAUCCUGGAAUAGGAGUGGGGCAGGAAUGUGUGAAGAGCAGGUUGUAGCUGUCUUACAGCCACAGCAGUGUGUAAAAUAGCUCUGCUCUGUCAUGGCAAAAUAAGUGGCAACUUCAGAGAGAGGUGCAGACUCUCCUCCUGCAGGCUGGUGCUCUGAGUGCUGGGGUAGAAAACAACUCCUCUAUUUCAGCUGCAAGUUUUUCAAGGUAUUUGUUCAAAAUGUUGCUGCUAGUGGGAGGGGGAAUUGUUUGGAAAGGCACUAGUUAGCCAAGGCCACCACAUGCCAAAGACUGCAGUGGUGGUUCAGCAGCUUGGUGAUGAGGAGCUGCCCUCUGGAGCCAUCCCAUUCACCAGUGCCAAGAUUCCCAUGGUGUCCAGCUCAGGAAAUGUGUCUGAGGCUCCAGGAAGGACCAGACAGUCAUGUGUGUCAGGAAACCCAAUGAAAUAUAGGUCAAAGAAAAGCCCAGUGCAUUGUUCUGGCUGGUUCCCCUCGUUUGGUUUUGUGUCCCUUUCCCUUUUUCCAGACAGCUGGAUCAUUUUUCCUGGAGCAAUGGACAUUUCUCCAGGCUGGUCUGGCUGCCUGUGGUCAUGAGAUUGAGUAGCAAGUCCUGGGACUUAGGAGCUGAGAGAGAGAAAAUCUCUCUGGUUCACACCUGAGUCUGAACCUCAAGGCUGUUUGUUUUUCUGGUCAUCUCUAGCAUGGCAGACUGGAUCAUCCACAUUAGAAUCACAGCAUUAUAGAAUAGUCAUUCAGAGAAGAGCUUUGAGAUGAUUGAAUCCAAGCUUUAUAUUGAAUUAGUCUGAAAUUCUGGAGGGGUUUGAAAGCCUGAAGUUGACUGUAUUGCUGUAGUUCAGUAAAGAUGGGAAAUUGAAACAAUUCUAAGUUUCAGCUUCAAACCCCUCUCCUGUUCUCCUGGCGCUAAGGAAAAGCCGAAAUUCAAAAAGGCUCUUUUUCUAAACCCACCUCAAGACAGCAAGAUCCUGUUAGAAAUAACAAAGCUGGCCAGACUUGCCUCUUUUUAGGAUACAAGGCAAAGCAUUUCUCUGCUUCUUCAUUUACUUUUGCAAUCUGAGAGUCAAUUCACCUUCCCUGCAUCCACUUUCAGCUUAAUAACCUUCCCUGCCCUUUCUGCUUCCCUUGCCCUGAUGGGAGGGCUGUGUGUGUCACCCAGGUUAUGGCUGCUUCCAAGGAAAUAAUCCAUUCACACAAAGCUCUGUGUUGUAGGAGGAUGUAUGUGUAAGGCCUUAACAUAGAGCAGAAUGCUAUAAUUUUUCCAGCAAGAAACUCUUCCAGCCUAUAAAUCCCAGUGAUUACUACUUUCUUGCCAAGUAGUUCUUACUAAAAGUGGAAGAUGCUGUACAUAGCAUGGGUUGCUGAUCCUCUUUCUCUCUUUCAAGAGAAAGAGGACUGGUAGCAUCCAGAAAUGAAGCAUCAGACAGUGGAAACAAUUGAAAAUUAAUAGUCAGUGCAAUGGAUAGAGGGAGAGUUACUCCGGCUGUGGGUGGUUACGGGAUUUUGCAAGCAGCGCUACAAAGUGACAUUUUCAUGCGCAAGCACAAAUAGGCAUAAAUCCAUUUGCAAUAGAUUUCACAUUUUGGGAUAGGCAAAAGAAAAAAGUUGUCAUAUCUAUUGGGCAACUCAGUUUCUGCGAAGGAAGAUGUCCUAAAUGUGAUUUAAUUUGCACAAGUGAAUUAAGCCCGCUUGGCAACAGCAAGGAAUUGCUGGCUGACAGUUUGUCAUCACCUCUGACUUUUUUGUUUUCUCCAAAGACAGGAAGUCUCUACCUGAUUUCUGGCUGAGUGGUUCUGCAGAGCAGAGAUUUUCGGAAGACAGAGCAACAGACCUGUCAGCACUUGGAUGAGAUGAGGGAAGUGGGGAAAAGCUGUGUCAGGAGCAGCAACAGGGGGAUGUCCCUGACCUUGCAGUUUGCAGUGACCUCAUGAGCCUGCUUUGGUGCUAGCAUUAGUUUGCUGAUAUCAUGGCUCAAAAAAUGUCUUGGAAAAGAGGGGAGGAAGUAGGACCUAAAUAUUACCAGAAUUCCUGGAAUAGCCUCCCCUGUUUUUUAAAAAAAAUCUGAACAUAAACAACACCAUGUUUUUGUCUCCCAGGAUGAAUUCAUUCUCGGAUGCUGUUCUAGGGGACAUUUAAAGGGGUAGCAGAUGCUGGUGCUGCUGGAUUUUAGGUGAUUAAGGCACAAAUAAUCCCAUGAGCACCACCCAUGCUCACCUUUUUAAAAAGUGGUUUUUGGAGGUGGGAUCCCACCUGUUCAAAAAAUACUCACAUGGACCUGCAAAACAGCCCUACAUCGUGAAGCAGAGAGGAUUGCUUCUGGUCUGAGUGUUUGUGGUUGCAUAGUCCCUUUGGAUUUCAAAUCUUCACAUCCCUUGGGUCUGUGAUUUUAAACUGACCUGGUAAAACAACUGUAGAGUGAGGAAACCUUUCUGUCAGGCCUUCUUCUCAGAGGUUUUGGCAAAGGUUCCUGAGAAAAUCCUCCUUAAGGCAGGUGGAGCUUCCCUGCUGUAAGGAUUUUGAGGAGGCAUAAAGUGGCAGUGGUAACCUUUGACUUGUUAAUUUCUCAUGGUCUAAUGGAAAAGAUUUGCUCCUCUAUCAAAGGGAGAGAAAGAACUGCCACCAGCAGUAAAUGUUGAUCCCAUUCUUUAUGUGAAGUUCUUUUAUUUCCCAAUGGAUAUGUGUAGGGAUUCAGACUUGCUAUCCUGCAAUCAGCAGGAGAGAGAGAUCUUCAAUUUGCAAGAUAGAAAAUUAUUCAAGGAAAAGAAGAAUGUUUGAUCACUGCUAGCUAGUCGCUCUUCUAGUCUGAUUAAAGCAUAUAUAUUCAUUGCCUUGGCACUUAAUGAGGAGCCAGGAGAUGGCACCAGAAGUGCUACAGGAUGUGCUCUGUAAGAAUAUUUACCUGUGUGUGUUGUAGCUGUUAAGAGGUAUUAAAUGGGUUAGACAUUGAUGGCACACAAGAAAGGAAGAGAACAGUCUGUUUAUUUCACUUUCAAAUAUACAUGCUCUUAAUUUGAAGUGCAGCUCUUGACUUCGUUCUUACAUUAUUUAUUAUUAUUAGACACCAACGCCUUCUCAGCAUAUUUAUUUUGUUAAAUUACACCUCUGAAAUUAAAUGCAGCCUCUUGUCAGCUUUAAUGUUCUUCUGCCUAUUCUUAUAAUUAUUAUUGAUAAGAGGUGACUUUCAAGUUAACAGCCAGUGGAUUGAUAAGGCAGCUGUUAUUAUGUUACCUGAGUGCUUUUUGGAAAGCUUAGCUCAAGGGCAAACCGUGAUUUCUCCAGUGUGGAAUGCUGAAUCCCCAGCCUGCAUACUGCUGGCAAAAGUGGUGUUUGUGGCUGUGCUGUGCCUGGGUGAUGUCUGAAAAGCUGCCCCCAAACUGCCCCCAGGCUGCAGAGUUGUGUGUACCUGCAAUCAGUGAGCGUGGCGGCUCUUGGGGGUGCACAGUGGGGUGCCCCCACUGUUGAUUGCUGAGCCGUCAGAGGGUUUCUGCUCCUUUCGCCUCUGCUCUUCCCUCCUGCUCUCCGAGGCCCUUCUCCUCAUUCUCAGGUAGUAGAUCCGGUUGGCUUCUGGGUGGGUGACUUGGCAGAGGGGCAUUUUGUAGAUGGCUGGGUUUUGGGAGGUGAUCAGCAGGAAGAGGAGCGCCGAGAGGCAGAAGGGCCAGGUGCACACUGGCAGCCCGAGCUGGCAGGGGACACAACAGACACGGGGCAGCGCUUUGGUACUGCUUUUUGAUCUCUGUGCUUAUGCCUGCCUGCUGCAGCUAAACUCUUCCCUUUGGGAAGCUGGGAGGGCCUUGCUUUCCCUGAAGACUCAGUGGCUACCAAAUGCCGAUUCAGCUGGCCACACAAAGGUCUGCUUUUCAGACGGAGGGCGUGGGGCUGCACAAAGCAUCUGACACUGCAGACCUCAGUCCUGUCAGAGCUGCAGCUUCAAUACCGGUGCUGGAUGGAACCUGGCACCAGCAUUGAAGCAACUGAAUCAGGCUCCAGAGCUCUGGUGACUGCAGUGAAAGCCAGGACACCCAGCUCACACCUGGACACUUGAAUUCUCUAACAGAAAAGCCAAAUUCUACCCUCUCUGUUCUGUAAAAUAUGUAUGGAGAGUAUUAUUCAUGCAUAUUCCCUCUCCCCAACGACAAUAUGACUCUGGCAUCACAUCCAACCCUCAGCCCUCUCCGUUCCCCCACCUCUGGACCUGAAUUGAGGUCUUCCAAAAGCAAGAUCACAGGGACAAAAAAUGGGUGUCUUUUUUCCUGAUGCCUCCCAAAAGCAGGUGUGCUUAAAGCAGCCCAUAUGAGAAGACCUACAUAGUACUGAGAGGGUGCCAGAUGAAAAUGUUCAGUGCAUGAAACUGCUAAUUCUAAUAUUUUUUUCUUUUAAGUUAGUAAAUCAAUUUAAUUAAAAUAUGGUUUUGCUUUAAUCUCUCAGAUCUUAGAAAAGAAGCAGGGCCUGGCAUUUCUGUCUUCACUCCUUUCUUGAUUUGUCCAAAUAUAAUAACUUUGUACUUAAGAGAACAGUCUCCCCCUCAUUUUAGUUCUCAUAACCAGUUCAAACAUCAAUAAUAUCUGUGAGCAGUGUUGGAGAAAGACCUUGAAUGAAGAAAAUGAAAAUUUAGAUCAUUUGGAAUUGCUGAAAGAUAAUGUUCAACGAAGUAUUUAAUCUCAAACCAUAUGCUGUUGCUGUAACUCACAUACAUAUAUGCACAACCCUGUUGUGGAUAGCAUGCUCCAAAGGUCUUUGAAAUCUUAUUAUCAGAUAUAAAGUCUUCAGGGGCACAAUUCAGCUGGCACAGGAUUUGUACAAGACCUGCCAACUGGCUGCAGCAUUCUCAUUUCAAUGUUGCCACAGCUGACAUGGAGAAUUUUGAGGCAUUUCCUUAACAUUGUAUCAAGAUGCAGUUAGAAAAAAAAAACAACAGACCCUCAGGUAAAACACAAAGCCUCACACUUACCACAGAGAGUGCAUUAGCAAGAGCUGCUCCAGAGUAGGCACAAAAUAAUGCUGAGAAGAGAAGACCAAAGAAAGCUCAGGAUGAGGAAAAAAAAAAAAAAUUAUAAAAAAGCAAGCAACGUGGUCCAAAUGCACAGCAAAAUAUCCUCCCAGCUACCUAAUGUGAGGAUCACUGCUAGAGUUCAACACUUAGUUGAAAUGUCCCAACAAAAGGGGCCUAAAGUUGCACCAAGGGAGAUCUAGGUUGAAUAUUAGGGAAAAAUUUCUUCACAGAAAGGGCUGUCCAACCCUGGCACAGCUGCCCAGGGCAGUGGUGGAGUUCCCAUCCCUGGAGGGAUUGGCAGCUGUGUGGAUGUGGCUCUGGGGGAUGUGGGUUAGUGGUGGCCUUGGCAGGGCUGGGGGCACAUUUGGACCCGAUGUUCUUGGAGGUAUUUUCCAACACAAAUGAUUCUGUGACUGCAUUUUGUCUUAUCUGCUCUGUAGAGAUGGAUGGUGAAUGAUAAACAUGGUUUUGUCAAGAUGAAGCGAUGGUGGCAUUUCUUUUAUCUUUAAUUUCAUUUUAUUUGGUGCUACCUGACCCACAUGCAGUGGGAAUUGCAGAAAUUCUCCAUCAGGGCUGGACUUCAGAAAUUCUCUGCCCUGUGCCUUCAUGCUACAACCAGUUACCAAAGGGUCUCUUUGCACCAGGAUGCCAGAAUGGCAGAACAGGAGGCAAGGUCAGGCAUUCAAGGGUUAAAUCAAGGAAGAAAAAGCCACUGAGAAAUCCAGAAACUGUUCUCAGGGCACUGAGAUAAAGAUAAUUGGAGCCUGGGCAUAUCUUCACAGGAAUGUCUUAACUGGGAAAUUUCUCCAACUGUUCCCGUAGUGCCUGGUUUUGGCUGCUGUCAGAUGCGGGAUCUUUGGGUGGUUGGGUUUUAAACUGACCUGGUGCAACAGCUCCCUUCUGAUGAGACAUUUCGCCCAGUGAUACAUAAUCAUGAAAAGGCUGCUUCAAUGAAUCUGUUGAGUUGUUAACCGGUUAAACAUGCUCAUGGAUUAACUUGAGCACGUUCCAGUACAAACAGUACUUCCACCCUUUCUAGAUGUUUGCAUGUUAUCAGGGUCUAAAAGUAUUCUCUCUGUACUUGUACAAUCAAGCCCGAUGCUGAUGCUACCAGAGAAACAGCUCUUGCACAGUACCUAUUUUUGGGAUAGAGUGAUGAUUGGCUCUAAGCCUGUGCCUCUGUCUUAGGCUUGAAAUGCAAGAUGUGGCUGGGGGUGUAUAUUCUAUCACCAUCUGUUAGAGGUAGGGCAGUUAUCUUCUGCUCAUUGGGCCACCUGUGAAAACCAGGUGGGGCAGGGUUUUUUCAAUCUCUUCUACAAGCAAUCCUCCCUCUGGAAAAUAUCUUCUGCUCAUGGCCAGCGAGUGUCCCUGUAUGGCUGAUAAAAUUCCAUCAUCCCACUGGGAGGUGCUCUGCCCAGGGGGAGGAGCCAAGCAUUCCUACCUGGAUAUAAUCUGAGUCCUGGAACACCACAGCAGCCUCUGCCUCCUGCAUUCCCAGAGGAGCAGCUGUCCUCUCCACUGGAUUCCCAGAGCAAGACCAGGCCCAUCUACACCACCACUGGCCUUACAGAAGAAAACUCUACCCUACUACAGGAUCCCUGCUCCAGCAGAACCACAGCUGGCACUGCAGAAGGGCUGAGACACCACUGAAUGGGACUGCUGCCACCACCCUGACCCACAGAGUGUCAGCUCCUAUUCUGACUCUCUCAGAGCUGUUUUGUAUUACUGCAUUUUUAUUUUUUCUUUUAACUUUUUUUCCUAAUAAAGGUCUCUUAUUCUCACUCCCA
Haemorhous mexicanus (house finch) is the source of this 8680-nucleotide long non-coding RNA. RefSeq lists it as uncharacterized. NCBI's taxonomy places the organism in Eukaryota, Metazoa, Chordata, Aves, Passeriformes, Fringillidae. The record is from RefSeq and is a predicted model, not a curated record. The transcript is spliced from 2 exons.